This is a non-coding RNA of Cyanistes caeruleus (blue tit), 205 nucleotides long. NCBI's taxonomy places the organism in Eukaryota, Metazoa, Chordata, Aves, Passeriformes, Paridae. The record is from RefSeq and is a predicted model, not a curated record.
UUUGGGGUUUUUUUUGCAUUCUUGACGUUUUUCCUGGGGGGUUUUGGGGGCGUUUUCGGGUCUCAAAUCACACGAAAAUCGCCAAAAACAGCCGAGAACACCCAGAAAAAAGAGAUUUACCUGGAAACGGGAGCGCAGGCUCUGGAGCGAUGCCGCCACUCCAGUUCUUGGCUCUGCUGCUUCUCGGCGCGGGAAUUUCGGGAAU